This 442-nucleotide microRNA precursor is filed under the name Arabidopsis lyrata. RNAcentral describes it as "miR835 stem-loop (aly-MIR835)". Its record names the gene aly-MIR835. The record is from miRBase by way of RNAcentral. Lineage: Eukaryota; Viridiplantae; Streptophyta; Magnoliopsida; Brassicales; Brassicaceae.
GAUGCAAUGCUAGAUGGUCAUCUUUGUGGUUAAGCUCUUUCUUGCAUAUGUUCUUUAUCUCUAUUGAUUGAUAUUUUUCAGCGAGCAACAUUAUAUAUAUAUAUAUAUAUUUUACCUGGAUUUGUAAGAUAAUUUUUAGAUUUCUCGACGUUAUACGCAACAUUAUAAUUUCUGUUGUAGUCAACUUCUGCUGCAACCCAUCCACAAAGCUUAUCAUGCGAGAUUAAACACUUUCUCGAUGGGUUGCAAUAGAACAUCACUAAAAUAGAAGUGAUAUUGUUUGGAAAAACGUCAAAGAACCGAUAUCUUAUAAACAUCUUACAAAUCCAGGUAGAAGAGAAUAUGAGGUUGCUUGUUGAAAAUAACAAUCUAUAAAUUUGAAGAAGAUACGCAAGAAAGAGUUCUAAACACAAAGCUGAUCAAACAUUCUAUUUGAAGAGUU